RNAcentral lists this ribosomal RNA (396 nucleotides) under uncultured bacterium. Its description in RNAcentral is "partial 16S ribosomal RNA". It matches the Rfam family "Bacterial small subunit ribosomal RNA", at positions 523 to 918 of the family's 1533-position model. The record is from RNAcentral.
AUACGAAGGGUGCAAGCGUUAAUCGGAAUUACUGGGCGUAAAGCGCGCGUAGGUGGUUUUGUAAGUUGGAGGUGAAAGCCCCGGGCUCAACCUGGGAAUUGCCUCCAAAACUGCAUGACUAGAGUACGGUAGAGGGUAGUGGAAUUUCCUGUGUAGCGGUGAAAUGCGUAGAUAUAGGAAGGAACACCAGUGGCGAAGGCGUCUACCUGGACUGAUACGGACCCUAAGUGCGAAAGGGUGGGGGAGAAAACAGGAGUAGAUCCCCUGUUAGUCCACGCCGUAAACGAUGUCAACUAGCCGUUGGGAUCCUUGAGAUCUUAGUGGCGCAGCUAACGCAUUAAGUUGACCGCCUGGGGAGUACGGCCGCAAGGUUAAAACUCAAAUGAAUUGGCGGGG